AUGGCGGUGCAGCAGCAGCGCACGGUGGCGCUCUUCUUGGCCGUCGCCCUUGUGGCGGGGCCAGCCGUCUCCUACGCCGCCGAUGCCGGCUACGCCCCCGCUACCCCGGCCCCCGCUACCCCGGCCCCCGCCACCCCUGCCCCCGCCUCCCCUGCCCCCGCCACCCCUUCCGGCGGCUACGCCCCUAAAGGGCCAGCUGGGACGCAGCCCAAGGCGACGACCGAGGAGCAGAAUGUGAUGGAGCAGGUGAACAACGCCUUCAAGGCGGCCGUGGCGGCCGCCGCCGUCGUCCCUGGGCCGGACAAGUACAAGAAGUUCACCGACACCUACAUCCCGGACGUGGAGAGGGCUAUAGCGGACGUCUUCAAGGGGUCCAACGCCUCAACUUUCACCACCAAGAUCGGCAUGGCCCAGAAGCUCGCCUACGACUCCGCCGACGGCGCCACCCCCGAGGCCAAGUACGACUCCUUCAUCGCCAUCCUCAGCGAGUCCCUCCGCAUCAUCGCCGGCACCCUCGAGAUCCACGGCGUCAAGCCCGCUGCCGAGGAGGUCAAGGGCCCCAUCCCCGUCGCCGAGAUGAAGGCCGUCGACCAGAUCGACAGCGCCUUCAGGAUUGCCGCCACCGCCGCCGACGCUGCCCCCGUCAACGACAAGUUCACCGUCUUCGAGUCCGCCUUCGACAAGGCCAUCAAGGAGACCACUGGCGGCGCAUACGCGGGCUACAAGUUCGUCCCCGCCCUCGAGUCCGCCGUCAAGAAGGCCUACGCCGCCACCGUUGCCGAGGCGCCCGAGGUCAAGUUCACCGUCUUUGAGGCCGCCCUCACCAGGACCAUCGCCGCCAUGUGCGUCGCAGCCAAGGGCGCCGCCGGCGCCACCAACGGAACUGAUGCUGCCGGUGGCUACAAAGCUCCCGCCGCAGAAGCAGCAACCGCCACUCCCACUCCCGCCGCCGAAGCAGCAGCAGCAACCACCGCUCCCACUCCCACUCCCGCCGCCGCUGCCGGUGGCUACAAAGUCUGA
This 1020-nucleotide ribosomal RNA is filed under the name Triticum aestivum (bread wheat). RNAcentral describes it as "partial small subunit ribosomal RNA". The record is from RNAcentral. Lineage: Eukaryota; Viridiplantae; Streptophyta; Magnoliopsida; Poales; Poaceae.